GACGAACGCUGGCGGCGUGCUUAACACAUGCAAGUCGAACGGAAAGGCCCUGCUUUUGUGGGGUGCUCGAGUGGCGAACGGGUGAGUAACACGUGAGUAACCUGCCCUUGACUUUGGGAUAACUUCAGGAAACUGGGGCUAAUACCGGAUAGGAGCUCCUGCUGCAUGGUGGGGGUUGGAAAGUUUCGGCGGUUGGGGAUGGACUCGCGGCUUAUCAGCUUGUUGGUGGGGUAGUGGCUUACCAAGGCUUUGACGGGUAGCCGGCCUGAGAGGGUGACCGGCAACAUUGGGACUGAGGUACGGCCCAGACUCCUACGGGAGGCAGCAGUGGGGAAUCUUGCACAAUGGGCGGAAGCCUGAUGCAGCAACGCCGCGUGCGGGAUGACGGCCUUCGGGUUGUAAACCGCUUUCGCAUGUGACGAAGCGUGAGUGACGGUAAUGGGUAAAGAAGCACCGGCUAACUACGUG
Molecule: ribosomal RNA, 468 nt
Filed under: uncultured bacterium
Lineage: Bacteria
Description: partial 16S ribosomal RNA
Rfam family: Bacterial small subunit ribosomal RNA
Source: RNAcentral